GCCCGGCUAGCUCAGUCGGUAGAGCUUGAGACUCUUAACCUCAGGGUCGUGGGUUCGAGCCCCACGGUGGGCG
RNAcentral lists this transfer RNA (73 nucleotides) under Haemaphysalis longicornis (longhorned tick). It matches the Rfam family "tRNA". Rfam says of the family: Transfer RNA (tRNA) molecules are approximately 80 nucleotides in length. Their secondary structure includes four short double-helical elements and three loops (D, anti-codon, and T loops). Lineage: Eukaryota; Metazoa; Arthropoda; Arachnida; Ixodida; Ixodidae. The record is from Rfam by way of RNAcentral.